UAAUACGUAGGGGGCGAGCGUUGUCCGGAAUUACUGGGCGUAAAGAGUUCGUAGGCGGUCUGAUAAGUCAGAUGUGAAAGGCGUAGGCUUAACCUAUGUAAGCAUAUGAAACUGUCAGACUUGAGGUAAGGAGAGGAAAGUGGAAUUCCUAGUGUAGCGGUGAAAUGCGUAGAUAUUAGGAGGAAUACCAGUGGCGAAGGCGACUUUCUGGACUUAAACUGACGCUGAGGAACGAAAGCGUGGGGAGCAAACAGG
RNAcentral lists this ribosomal RNA (255 nucleotides) under uncultured bacterium. RNAcentral's name for it is "partial 16S ribosomal RNA". It matches the Rfam family "Bacterial small subunit ribosomal RNA", at positions 521 to 776 of the family's 1533-position model. The record is from RNAcentral.